CCUGGUUGAUCUUGCCAGUAGUCAUAUGCUUGUCUCACAGAUUAAGCCAUGCAAGUGAAAGUACAUAUGUAAAUAAUAUAUUGAAACUGCGAACGGCUCAUUAAAACAGUUAUAAUCUACUUGAUGUUUUUAAUAUAAGGAUAACUACGGAAAAUCUGUAGCUAAUACUUGUGAAAAUACCUUUUGAUAUAUACAUAUGUAUGUAUCAUUAAGGUAUGUAUUUGUUAGAUAUAAGAAUAAAAUAAAUAUAAUUGAAUUAUAACAAAGAAGAAACACAUAAAAUAUGUGUAUUAUCAAUCGAGUAUCUGACCUAUCAGCUUUUGAUGUUAGGGUAUUGACCUAACAUGGCUAUGACGGGUAACGGGGAAUUAGAGUUCGAUUCCGGAGAGGGAGCCUGAGAAAUAGCUACCACAUCUAAGGAAGGCAGCAGGCGCGUAAAUUACCCAAUUCUAAAAAAGAGAGGUAGUGACAAGAAAUAACAAUACAAUAUCGAAAAAUGAUUUUGUAAUUGGAAUGAUAGGAAUUUACAAGGUUCCUAGAGAAACAAUUGGAGGGCAAGUCUGGUGCCAGCAGCCGCGGUAAUUCCAGCUCCAAUAGCAUAUAUUAAAAUUGUUGCAGUUAAAACGUUCGUAGUUGAAUAUUAAAGAAUCCGAUGUUUCAUUUAAACUGGUUUGGGAAAACCAAAUGUAUUAUAUAUUUUGCUUUGUUCAAAAUAAGGUUUUCUAAUAAAUUAUGUUUUUAUCAGAUAUGACAGAAUCUUUUUUAAAAUCUCUUCAAUAUGCUUUUAUUGCUUUUGAGAGGUUUUGUUACUUUGAGUAAAAUUAAGUGUUCAUAACAGACGGGUAGUCAUGAUUGAGUUCAUUGUGUUUGAAUACUACAGCAUGGAAUAACAAAUAUGAAUAAGCUAAUUAUUUUUUUUUUCAUAUUUUUUUUGAUAUUCUUAUUAGCUUAGUUACGAUUAAUAGGAGUAGCUUUGGGGGCAUUCGUAUUCAGAUGUCAGAGGUGAAAUUCUAAGAUUUUCUGGAGACGGACUACUGCGAAAGCAUUUGCCUAAUCUAUUUCCAUUAAUCAAGAACGAAAGUUAAGGGAGUGAAGACGAUCAGAUACCGUCGUAAUCUUAACCAUAAACUAUACCGACUAGGUGUUGGAUGAAUAUAAAAAAUAUAUAAAUAUGUAGCAUUUCUUAGGGAAUGUUGAUUUUAUAUUAGAAUUGCUUCCUUCAGUACCUUAUGAGAAAUCAAAGUCUUUGGGUUCUGGGGCGAGUAUUCGCGCAAGCGAGAAAGUUAAAAGAAUUGACGGAAGGGCACCACCAGGCGUGGAGCUUGCGGCUUAAUUUGACUCAACACGGGAAAACUCACUAGUUUAAGACAAGAGUAGGAUUGACAGAUUAAUAGCUCUUUCUUGAUUUCUUGGAUGGUGAUGCAUGGCCGUUUUUAGUUCGUGAAUAUGAUUUGUCUGGUUAAUUCCGAUAACGAACGAGAUCUUAACCUGCUAAUUAGCGGUAAGUACACUAUAUUUUUAUUUGAAAUUGAAUAUAGGUAAUUAUACAUGUUUAUUCAGUGUUCAAAUUAGGAUAUUUUUUUAUUAAAAUAUUCUUUUCCCUGUUCUACUAUAAUAAUUUGUUUUUUUUUACUCUAUUUCUCUCUUCUUUUAAGAAUGUACUUGUUUGAUUAAAUAAAGCUUCUUAGAGGAACAGUGUGUAUCUAACACAAGGAAGUUUAAGGCAACAACAGGUCUGUGAUGUCCUUAGAUAAACUAGGCUGCACGCGUGCUACAAUGAUAUAUAUAACAAGUUGUUAAAAAUGUACUUAUAAAUAAGUGUGUACAGUUUUUCCUGUACUGAAAAGUAUAGGUAAUCUUUAUCAGUAUAUAUCGUAAUUGGGAUAGAUUAUUGCAAUUAUUAAUCUUGAACGAGGAAUGCCUAGUAAGCAUGAUUCAUUAGAUUGUGCUGACUACGUCCCUGCCCUUUGUACACACCGCCCGUCGCUCCUACCGAUUGAAAGAUAUGAUGAAUUGUUUGGAUAUGAAUUAAAAUAAUGAAAUUUUAUAUUUCUGAUUUUUUCUAGAAGAACUGUAAAUCCUAUCUUUUAAAGGAAGGAGAAGUCGUAACAAGGUUUCCGUAGGUGAACCUGCGGAAG
Molecule: ribosomal RNA, 2138 nt
Filed under: Plasmodium falciparum 366.1
Lineage: Eukaryota; Apicomplexa; Aconoidasida; Haemosporida; Plasmodiidae
Description: SSU rRNA
Rfam family: Eukaryotic small subunit ribosomal RNA
Source: RNAcentral